AGAAAGGCUCUGCCGUUACUCUCAGCUGUUAUUUGUGCUGAUGUUGGGGUCUUUGCUGUGGCUGUGCUUGGAAGUUCUUGGAUUCUGCUUCUAGAACUCAAAGCAAUCUGUGCUUUAAAAAUUGACCCAGUGGGGGCUGUAGGGUUUCAGGUCUGGCUGCUCCCAUCGUCUGUUCAUUAUUGCUUACUGCUGCAGAACCCUCAAAAACGGAAAACAGGCAACUCAGAUUAUACUUUAUCUUAAAAGAUUUUGCUGAUCUCUACCACGAAUUCAUCAGGACUAAUGAGACAGAUAAGUAAAGGAUUUUGUUAUUACAUGCCAACUCCAUAAAGAUACUCUGGGGUAAGCGGAGAGGUGGUACAAUCUUUGUGUGUGAGUGAUGGGAAAGAGCUACCUGGUUACAAAUUCUGGUCCCACUGAAGUCGGCAGGGGUUCUGCCAUUUGCCUUCAACAAAGCAAAGGGUUUCACCAUGUGUUUAACAGG
Molecule: long non-coding RNA, 484 nt
Filed under: Gallus gallus (chicken)
Lineage: Eukaryota; Metazoa; Chordata; Aves; Galliformes; Phasianidae
Description: lncRNA (ENSGALG00010029792.1)
Source: RNAcentral